AGUCAACCUACCCUAUGGACGGGAAUAAUCUCGGGAAACUGAGGAUAAUGCCCGAUAGAACACUAUGCCUGGAACGGUUUGUGUUCCAAAUGAUUUAUCGCCGUAGGAUGGGACUGCGGCCUAUCAGUUUGUUGGUGAGGUAAUGGCCCACCAAGACUAUUACAGGUACGGGCUCUGAGAGGAGUAGCCCGGAGAUGGGUACUGAGACACGGACCCAGGCCCUAUGGGGCGCAGCAGGCGAGAAAACUUUGCAAUGUGCGAAAGCACGACAAGGUUAAUCCGAGUGGUUCCUGCUAAAGGAACCUUUUGACGGUCCUAAAAACACCGUUGAAUAAGGGGUGGGCAAGUUCUGGUGUCAGCCGCCGCGGUAAAACCAGCACCUCAAGUGGUCAGGAUGAUUAUUGGGCCUAAAGCAUCCGUAGCCGGCUCUGUUAGUUUUCGGUUAAAUCUGUACGCUCAACGUACAGGCUGCCGGGAAUACUGCAGAGCUAGGGAGUGGGAGAGGUAGACGGUACUUGGUAGGAAGGGGUAAAAUCCUUUGAUCUAUUGAUGACCACCUGUGGCGAAGGCGGUCUACCAGGACACGUCCGACGGUGAGGGAUGAAAGCUGGGGGAGCAAACCGGAUUAGAUACCCGGGUAGUCCCAGCUGUAAACCAUGCAAACUCAAUGAUGCACUGGCUUGAAGCCAGUGCAGUGUU
This 699-nucleotide ribosomal RNA is filed under the name uncultured marine archaeon. RNAcentral describes it as "bacterial SSU rRNA". It matches the Rfam family "Archaeal small subunit ribosomal RNA", at positions 102 to 802 of the family's 1478-position model. The record is from RNAcentral.